UCAAAUGUUGAGAAGCUGUCAAUUUCAGGAUAAAAAUAUUUAUCCAUAUAUUUUAAAAUAAUUAUAAAGCCACUAAAAUGCUACAAAUUUAUUAGUUAGUAAUGUAUAGGCGUCGAUAUCUUUAGUGAAGAAAUGUGUAUUACACGAAAAGGCCGCCAUUUGAUGUGUUUUCUAACAUCGUCGAUAUUCAAUACACGUUAGUAUAACCUACUGGUACAUAAAACUUCAUUAUAGAACAAGACAAGACCACAAUAGAUCUGAGAAGGUCGCAGUGGGUCAGGCCGAAAUCAACCUCUAGAAAUCUAAUCUAGAACAAGACAAAGACCUUACUUGCAAACUACCAUACAUAUCGUUUAAAAAGGAUGCUAAGUCAAGAAGUUUAGAUAAAUCUACAAUAUAUUAUCAUCAGACCAAACGAAGGAUAAUUAUUUAAAAGAAUAAGUUAUGUUAUGAUACAUAUAUAGAUUUGGAUGACAUCGCUUCAGGUGGUUUUACCAGUCAGGACUAACAGGGAUAUUAAUCAAAACAAUGAAAAAAGCUCAAAUAAAUUUGAUCCU
This 557-nucleotide long non-coding RNA is filed under the name Sitophilus oryzae (rice weevil). RNAcentral describes it as "uncharacterized LOC115890439". The record is from RNAcentral. Lineage: Eukaryota; Metazoa; Arthropoda; Insecta; Coleoptera; Curculionidae.